CAGGCAGGACUGGGAGGAGCCAGGAAAGCCCUGGUGCUCAGAAGUGGAGGGCCAAGACAAGCCUCCCUGCCCCGUGACAAGGUCCUCAGUCACAGGAACAGUAGGGACUCUUAGGCAUGACACAUCAACACAGGGUGUGACAAGAGCUGGGAGUGAUAGUGAGGUCACAAGGUUCCUCCUCUCUGGGGCCUGACAUUGUUCUAUGAACCACUCCCAACACUGGGAAGGACCUGGAUUCCUCCAGGUCUCCCCACUGCCAGCUUAGGGCACAUCGAGUGCAGGUGAAAAGGUAGCUCCGAUAUUUACAUGUUCACAUUCUCAAUCUCCACCCGUCACACCCCAAAAUCACUCAUUGAUGCCACUUCACACCAUCAGCAGUUUUCCCCUCUGGGAUCCUCUAAGAGUUCUCUAACCUGGGAGGCCAGGAUGUAGAGGGUUGGCCUGAUGCUGCCAGUAUUCUAAUGCGAACCUUGGGCCUCCGAGCCUGGUUGCCCCAGAGAUGUAGGUACUAAGUGACCCUGCCCUCAAGUUACUUCUGAUUGGUAAAUAAAGAUGCCAACAGCCAAUAGCUGGGCAGAAGAGACAUAGGUGGGGUUUAGGUUUCAUGGGCUUGGGGUUGGAGGAGGACCACAAGGAGAAGAAGGUGGUGCAGGAGGAAGGAAGGAGAAGCCACCAUGGGUUAGGUGAGCCAUAAAAGCACGGCCCUGAGGGCUUCCCAACUGGAGUUAAGAGCAGCCCAGAUGAGACAUAUGGUGAGCAGAACACAGGACGAACUCUGGCUGGCAUCGCUCACAUUCGCAACUCUGCCCAAGACACACACAGUCCGUGUGUCAGCAAGGCCGAGGGACGCACAGCUUUCUAACUCAAGUAUUCACAGUAUGCAGUGCUUCACCAUGUUGGAUUGGAACUUGUUUUUGGACUGAAAUCUCAAAUGGGUUUGUCCUCUCACAGGAGAACCUCCCUGUGUCGAGACGGGACACAGAGAAGCAGCCAUUCAGAGCUGCUCAGGCCGAAUCACCCACAUGUCUUCAGGAGAACAUCUGCUGAGCCCAGAGACUCGUCUUACCACUAGGGAGACAUGAGCACUUCCCCAACAGGCAUCUUGGAAUACUUGUUCAAAGAAAGAAGACUUAAUCCCAUGCAAUCCAACCUUUAAGUAUAACCUCCAGGCAAGCUGGAACCAGUCUUAUCUCUGGUAGGAACCGCAGCUGGGAGAUGCAAGACAUGUUGCCUGCAAGCUCAUGGCACUGUUGUGGGGAGUGGGACCCAGCAUCCUACUAAGUUUGGGUGAAACAUCCAUGAACCCAAAGUUGAUGGAAUGAAAGCCAGCAUUGAGUGAGGUGUGCAAACAGCUUUCUGGAAGGGGCCUUGUCCUACAUGGGCAAUAGUCAUGGAGCUGCUUGUCUUUGGAGGACACACAGACAACGCACAAAGAAACACUACAGUAUGCACCGAUCUGAGCUUCAUUCAAAGGCAAAGAGUCUCGAGUUAUGAAAGAAGAACUUGAGUCACAACUAUGGGACAGAUGGCAGAUUCUGAGUGAGGACAGAAGUGCCAGUACUUCUUUACCACUGGACAAAGCUCAGAACCAGAACAUCAACUGGGAGGGGGCAGAGAGAGGGUGGCAGCCUCAGGCAAGGGAAGAGUUCUGUUGGGGCUCAGACUCUCCUUGGCCAGAGGCUUUAAGUUUCUGAGCAAAAUGAUAGCAAACCUAAGAUCCAUAGCAGCGGUGAGGAACACAGGAGAUGUAAGGUUAGGGGUGGGAAGGCUGCCAGUAGGAAGGACAGUAAACUCAGUGCUGCCUGUAUAAACCUUCCAGGACCUCUUGGUUGUAAAAUGUUAGUGAUGAUGGUGAUGAUGGUGAUGAUGGUGAUGAUGGUGGUGAUGAUGGUGGUGAUGGUGAUGAUGGUGAUGAUGGUGAUGAUGGUGAUGAUGGUGAUGAUGGUGGUGAUGGUGAUGAUGGUGGUGAUGGUGAUGAUGGUGGUGAUGGUGAUGAUGGUGGUGAUGGUGAUGAUGGUGAUGAUGGUGGUGAUGGUGGUGAUGGUGAUGAUGGUGAUGAUGGUGGUGGGUGGUGCUGACGGCCUUUGGGCUCAACAAUACCAAGUAUAUAAUUUCAUGUUGUAAACUUCAUGUUAAAAUAUGUAUGCUAGUUAUGUAGUUAAAAUUGCAUCUCAGAUAUAAAGAGAUGUAAUUCAA
This is a non-coding RNA of Rattus norvegicus (Norway rat), 2196 nucleotides long. NCBI's taxonomy places the organism in Eukaryota, Metazoa, Chordata, Mammalia, Rodentia, Muridae. The record is from RefSeq and is a predicted model, not a curated record.